GUGCUUGCUUCAGCAGGACAUAUACUAACAAAUUAGAGAAAUACAGAGAAGAUUAGCAUGGCCCCUGCACAAGGAUGACACACAUUCAUGAACCAUUUUAUAUUUUG
This is a small nuclear RNA of Marmota marmota marmota (Alpine marmot), 107 nucleotides long. NCBI's taxonomy places the organism in Eukaryota, Metazoa, Chordata, Mammalia, Rodentia, Sciuridae. The record is from Ensembl.